GGCUGAGUCAGGAGUCGCCAGCCAGACACAGAGGAAGCAUGAUGUGAAAGUCCGCCAUUGUCUGGAGCACUUCUUUUAGAGGCGGAUCCUUGUGAGAUUUCUCCUAUCCACACUGGUACAUCAGCUGGUAUACUCCUUGUUCAAGUCUUGCUAAGGGAACCAGACUUUUGAGAAUUCAAGGAUGCAGCUUCCUGGAUGAAUGAUCUCUGAAUAUUAUUUUCACACCUGCCACAAGGAUAAGAAUAACUGACCAAAGUUGGAAGCGGUUGAGGAUCAACGUCUUACAAAGGCCUUCCUGGGGAUGUUUUCAUGUCUGUGUCUGACAGCUAAAAGAAGCAGGCUCAAUUGUCUCCCAGCUCUACUGUGUCUAUGAGAGCUCAGGGUGGGACUGGGCUCUGCAGGCACAUGAAUAACAACAGCUGAAGUAAACCUCACUCCUGUCUGCUACACCUGGGAGGAGCGUGAAAACACAUCCCAGGAAUUCUGUGUUUUGGAGAGAUUGAGGUCGGAAGACUUGUUUUCUUGGUUUUCUCGCACUCAGAAUUCUUACAUGAUUUCAUCCUUAGACUGUGUUCUGACAUUGAAGAACAGAAGGAAGCUCAGGACUCCUUACACCAAGUCUAAACAACUUCUAGGAGUAUAUAAUAUUUUUUAGGAAGUGUUUUUCAGAGGAUUUCUAAAAUACUGAAGAUAUCAAGAAA
Non-coding RNA from Peromyscus maniculatus bairdii (prairie deer mouse), 701 nucleotides. The record is from RefSeq and is a predicted model, not a curated record. NCBI's taxonomy places the organism in Eukaryota, Metazoa, Chordata, Mammalia, Rodentia, Cricetidae.